GAGGGUAUAGCUUAGUGGUAGAGCACAUGUUUAGCAUGCAGGAGGUCCCAGGUUCAAUCCCCAGUAUCUCCA
RNAcentral lists this transfer RNA (72 nucleotides) under Camelus bactrianus (Bactrian camel). It matches the Rfam family "tRNA". From Rfam's summary of the family: Transfer RNA (tRNA) molecules are approximately 80 nucleotides in length. Their secondary structure includes four short double-helical elements and three loops (D, anti-codon, and T loops). Further hydrogen bonds mediate the characteristic L-shaped molecular structure. tRNAs have two regions of fundamental functional importance: the anti-codon, which is responsible for specific mRNA codon recognition, and the 3' end, to which the tRNAs corresponding amino acid is attached (by aminoacyl-tRNA synthetases). tRNAs cope with the degeneracy of the genetic code in two manners: having more than one tRNA (with a specific anti-codon) for a particular amino acid; and 'wobble' base-pairing, i.e. permitting non-standard base-pairing at the 3rd anti-codon position. RNAcentral also lists the same sequence under 2 other names. The record is from Rfam by way of RNAcentral. Lineage: Eukaryota; Metazoa; Chordata; Mammalia; Artiodactyla; Camelidae.